This 484-nucleotide ribosomal RNA is filed under the name uncultured bacterium. RNAcentral's name for it is "partial 16S ribosomal RNA". It matches the Rfam family "Bacterial small subunit ribosomal RNA", at positions 28 to 507 of the family's 1533-position model. The record is from RNAcentral.
AUUGAACGCUGGCGGCAUGCUUUACACAUGCAAGUCGAACGGCAGCGCGGGCUUCGGCCUGGCGGCGAGUGGCGAACGGGUGAGUAAUGCAACGGCACGUGCCCCGUAGUGGGGGCUAGGGCGGCGACAUCCGGAUUAAUACCGCAUACGACCUGAUGGUGCUAGCGGGGGACCGAAAGGCCUCGCGCUCUUGGACCGGCCGUUGUCGGAUUCGCUGGUUGGUGGGGUGAAGGCUUACCAAGGCGACGAUCCGGAGCUGGUGUGAGAGGGCGACCAGCCACACUGGGACUGAGACACGGCCCAGAACCCUACGGGAGGCAGCAGUGGGGAAUUUUGGACGAUGGGGGCAAACCGGAUCCAGCCAUGUCGCGUGAGGGAAGAAGGCCGUCGGGUUGUAAACCGUUGUUGUUCUGGAAGAAAUCCUCUGGGCUAAUACCCCGGGGGGAUGACGGGACCGGAAUAAUAAGCACCGGCUAACUACGUG